Molecule: microRNA precursor, 105 nt
Filed under: Canis lupus familiaris (dog)
Lineage: Eukaryota; Metazoa; Chordata; Mammalia; Carnivora; Canidae
Also listed under: 1 other name
Description: mir-8834 microRNA precursor family
Rfam family: mir-8834 microRNA precursor family
Source: Rfam by way of RNAcentral
AGGAGGAACAACCCCGGUGGCUGCUGCAGCUGUGGAAACCUGGAUUCAGCUCCCGCAGUAACUCCAGAGCUCUCUGUAUGCAGGGCCUGGAGGCUCCGGGGUGGG